This is a ribosomal RNA of Lachancea dasiensis, 398 nucleotides long. It matches the Rfam family "Eukaryotic large subunit ribosomal RNA", at positions 3004 to 3399 of the family's 3401-position model. Lineage: Eukaryota; Fungi; Ascomycota; Saccharomycetes; Saccharomycetales; Saccharomycetaceae. The record is from Rfam.
AAUGUUAUCGCAAUAGUAAUUGAACUUAGUACGAGAGGAACAGUUCAUUCGGAUAAUUGGUUUUUGCGGCUGUCUGAUCAGGCAUUGCCGCGAAGCUACCAUCCGCUGGAUUAUGGCUGAACGCCUCUAAGUCAGAAUCCAUGCUAGAAAGCGAUGAUUCCUUCCCUCACACAUUAUAGAUGGAUACGAAUAAGGCACUUUUAGUGUCGCUGAACCAUAGCAGACUGGCAACGGUGUCCUUAGCGGAAAGGCUUUGGGCGCUUGCCGGUGAAUUGCAAUGUCAUUUUGCGUGAGGAUAAAUCAUUUGUAUACGACUUAAAUGUACAACAGGGUAUUGUAAGCAGUAGAGUAGCCUUGUUGUUACGAUCUGCUGAGAUUAAGCCUUCGUUGUCUGAUUU